GAAAAACAAAAAAAAAGAUCUGAUUUUUUUUCGUAAUCCACGAUCUCCACCUAAUUCAACUUCCCACUUUCAUCAACUCACCUUCUUCAAAUCUCACCACGAUCUCUAAAGUCUCCACUUUCCUUCUUCUCUUCGACAAUGGAAUUCCUAUAAAAGCCUCUGUAUUUCUUUCUUUUCUGCUUUGGUUUUCUUACAACUUUAUCCGGGUUUUGAUUCAUCUUCACCGUUUGUCUUCCCAUAAUCCUAUUGAAUCUGGAGUAAGUUGCAACCAUUCCAAUCCACAAAAAGCAGAAGCAAACGUUACGUUUUAUUGUCGAUGCCGAAAAAUUAGUGUUGAACUACAUCUCUGUUUCUGCAAGGUUUUUGGCAGCUUUAAGCUUAUGACUCUUCUCUUACGUUUGUGGCUCCCAACGUCAAGUGUUUGACUCUUUUCAGAAACUAGAGUAUUCAAGGUCCAAUCCAAACUGUAGGAAGCUUGCUAAUCUCACGCAAGACUGGAAUCAAAAGGAUUAGAACGCAUAUGGUGUAAAGGAACAAAGAAGUUCACAGUUAUAUUGUACCAUAUGGAGAUUAAAUAGUGCAUGAGAGAAGACGAUCCAACAUCAAAAACUAAAUGAGCUUUUAGGAUGAACUCGAGAGAACAUGAUCCCACAAAUUACAAGUUCUCUUGAUUAUUAACAUCAUCUGUUAGUUGUUUGGUUCUUUUAUGGGCACAACUGUUAAUGUAUUUAUCCAUGUUAACGAUAGUUUUGUAUUUCCAAAAUUUUAUAGGCAUAUGUAUAAUAUUCAAUAUUUAUGAAUUUAUUGAGAAACCA
Arabidopsis lyrata subsp. lyrata is the source of this 815-nucleotide long non-coding RNA. RefSeq lists it as uncharacterized. The record is from RefSeq and is a predicted model, not a curated record. The transcript has 5 exons. NCBI's taxonomy places the organism in Eukaryota, Viridiplantae, Streptophyta, Magnoliopsida, Brassicales, Brassicaceae.